AUUUUGGACAAUGGGCGAAAGCCUGAUCCAGCAAUGCCGCGUGUGUGAAGAAGGCCUUCGGGUUGUAAAGCACUUUUGUCCGGAAAGAAAUCCUGAGGGCUAAUAUCCUUCGGGGAUGACGGUACCGGAAGAAUAAGCACCGGCUAACUACGUGCCAGCAGCCGCGGUAAUACGUAGGGUGCGAGCGUUAAUCGGAAUUACUGGGCGUAAAGCGUGCGCAGGCGGUUUGUUAAGACCGAUGUGAAAUCCCCGGGCUCAACCUGGGAACUGCAUUGGUGACUGGCAAGCUAGAGUAUGGCAGAGGGGGGUAGAAUUCCACGUGUAGCAGUGAAAUGCGUAGAGAUGUGGAGGAAUACCGAUGGCGAAGGCAGCCCCCUGGGCCAAUACUGACGCUCAUGCACGAAAGCGUGGGGAGCAAACAGGAUUAGAUACCCUGGUAGUCCACGCCCUAAACG
Molecule: ribosomal RNA, 455 nt
Filed under: uncultured bacterium
Lineage: Bacteria
Description: bacterial SSU rRNA
Rfam family: Bacterial small subunit ribosomal RNA
Source: RNAcentral